CACAAGUCCUCGUGCAGCUGUUGUUGCACGCUGUUGCGUCCCUUCAUGUAUCCACAGUUGCGCAGAGAUUAAACAUUCAUUCUUGUGAUGGCUCCGCUACAGUAACAAACUGGGAUUACAACAAUCGAAAUAUUUCUAAUUUGACAUACAGGAAAAUAGUCUAUAAUUCAUUAACGGAUUUUUGUUGCAGUUUGCACAAAUAAUUUGACUGCAGAUGCCAGGAUGGGAUCCCCCGCAAAAUCUGACGAAAAGACCAUGGAAUCAAUCAACUCCAACAGCCACAAAUCCAAUUUUUCGCAUUGUUUAGGCGGGCUGCCAACCGCAUUUUGCGUCAUGUUGUCGGUGUGUUCUAUGGCGUUUUGUUUUUUGGUACACUUCAAGACGUCUCACCUGGAGUACAGAGUGCAGAUUUUGGAGAUGGAGAGAAUUUCCCCGAUCCCUUCCGAUGAGAAUGGAACGGUACCUGGUCUUCAGGAUAUCAUUGAAAAACUAGUGCACGAGAGACUGACCAAAGCACUGCCCAAACUUCGCGCUACCAGGGAUGUCAUUCAAGAGUGCUCCUGUCCUCCAGGGCCUCCAGGAAAACGGGGAAGGAUGGGAAGACGAGGCGACUCUGG
Molecule: long non-coding RNA, 617 nt
Organism: Oncorhynchus masou masou (cherry salmon)
Lineage: Eukaryota; Metazoa; Chordata; Actinopteri; Salmoniformes; Salmonidae
Exons: 3
Source: RefSeq, a predicted model, not a curated record